RNAcentral lists this unclassified non-coding RNA (324 nucleotides) under uncultured fungus. RNAcentral describes it as "partial contains 5.8S ribosomal RNA, internal transcribed spacer 2, and large subunit ribosomal RNA". The stretch from base 1 to 52 matches the Rfam family "5.8S ribosomal RNA", at positions 103 to 154 of the family's 154-position model. The record is from RNAcentral. Lineage: Eukaryota; Fungi.
AACGCAUCUUGCGCUCCUUGGUAUUCCGAGGAGCAUGCCUGUUUGAGUGUCGCGAACGUGCCUCGGGCCCGCCCCUUUUCUAGAGGGGAGGGCUCGGAUAGUGGACGCUUUGCCGCGUCGCGCGGCUCGUCUUGAAAUGAAUUAGAGUCGGGUCCCUUGGCGAUUAGGGUCGGAGGGUAAUGGUGUGAUAAGUUCUCGCCGCGACGCCCUUCCGACUCCGACCCAAAGGCUCGCUUCGAGUCCUACAGUCGGACGGUCCCGCUAGGGGCACGGUACCAUUAACGUUUUGACCUCAAAUCAGGUAGGACUACCCGCUGAACUUAA